Molecule: long non-coding RNA, 1297 nt
Organism: Pan troglodytes (chimpanzee)
Lineage: Eukaryota; Metazoa; Chordata; Mammalia; Primates; Hominidae
Exons: 3
Source: RefSeq, a predicted model, not a curated record
AAGUCCAUGCAUCUCGGAAACUAUGGAGACGGGAACGUCUUGUGUGUAAAAAUGAAGAAAAAAUUAUAUCUCAUGUUGUGAAAGAGUCAGACUCUGAAAUCUGCUUAUACUUUGCUAUUUACAAAUCCUUCAUUUUUAGUAUACUUUUAAAAUUGAACACACACAACACUUUGGUUCCUAAAGUAAUGAUAACAAGAAAUUAAAAUCAAGGUACAUUAUCAUUUAUAUGUAGUAGUACAGAGUAACCAUGACUUACUAGGUGUUAUGAUGAAGGUGUAUGUGUGUGUAUAUGUGUGCAUGCAUGUAGAUAAGUGUGUGCAUUUGCGCACAUAAGAGUUUUAAACUGCUCCUGUCGUUUAUUGAUGGUCAAAGGUUUCUUUUGGCUAUUGCUGGACUCUUAAGAUUGUCUUGUAAUUGUCUUUUUGUUGUUGUUGAAAAUUAAGGGUGUAUAUUAAAGGUAGUUUUUACCCAGAUCUUAUAUGUGUGAUAGCUCACAUCUGUAAUCAGAAACUUACUGUUUAAUGGCCACCCAAUUGCCAUUAGCUUCCUAGAGGGUGAUUUAAUAAACUAUCUUCUUUAAAACUCAUUUAAAAUUAGAGACAUGUUUGCAUACAGUGGAUUAAUGACGUUUUCAUACUAACCCACAAAAGUCUGCUGCACUUUCUUUUGUAGGCCUAACAUUCAUUUCAUAUGCAUUGAUUAUUACUGUUGAACUUGCAUUAAUUACAUCGUGCAUAUAUGGACAUACAAUGUCAUCUGCAGAAUUUAGGAUUUUUUAUUGUUAAUUUUUAUAGUGACUGUGGAUUGAGGAAUUAAAAUUAGCAUGCUUCAUUUAUAAUAGUAUUUCUAGUGUUUCAUUAGCCCUAAAAAUGUGAUAAGAUCAGGAAUAAGAUUGGAAUGAAAAUUUCUCCUUAAAAUGGUACAUCUUUUGAAAACAUUUUGUUUAUAAUAUAUAGCUAAUCCUAAUUUAUUACAGUCUUUCAAUAUAUUCUUUAAUUUGAUUCUAUAAGGCUUAUAAAUUACUGUCUUUGAGAUAAGUUUCUUAAUUCACAGGUUUGUAUCAGUUGUACUAGGUUUGGUGAAGGAUGUCAUCCUAGAUAUACAGUGUAGACGUGCUUUAUGAAACAUACUUCUUCUUAGGGACAUUUUUAAAUACCAGAUGAGAAUAUGUUUGGUGGGCCAGGUGCAGGGGAUCACACCUGGAAUCCCAGCACUUUGGGUGGCCAAGGCAGGUGGAUUGCCUGAGGUCAGGAGUUUGAGACCAGCCUGGCCAACAUGGCAAAACCCAGUCUCUUCU